ACGAGUGGCGAACUGGUGAGUAACACGUGGGCCCCUUGCCCCGAAGCGGGGGAUAACAUUUGGAAACAGGUGCUAAUACCGCAUAACAACAAAAACCACAUGGUUUUUGUUUAAAAGAUGGUUUCGGCUAUCACUUUGGGAUGGACCCGCGGCGUAUUAGCUAGUUGGUGAGGUAAUGGCUCACCAAGGCAAUGAUACGUAGCCGACCUGAGAGGGUAAUCGGCCACAUUGGGACUGAGACACGGCCCAAACUCCUACGGGAGGCAGCAGUAGGGAAUCUUCCACAAUGGACGAAAGUCUGAUGGAGCAACGCCGCGUGAGUGAUGAAGGGUUUCGGCUCGUAUUACUCUGUUGUUGGAGAAGAACGGGUGUCAGAGUAACUGUUGACAUCGUGACGGUAUCCAACCAGAAAGCCACGGCUAACUACGUGCCAGCAGCCGCGGUAAUACGUAGGUGGCAAGCGUUGUCCGGAUUUAUUGGGCGUAAAGCGAGCGCAGGCGGUUUUUUAGGUCUGAUGUGAAAGCCUUCGGCUUAACCGGAGAAGUGCAUCGGAAACCGGGAGACUUGAGUGCAGAAGAGGACAGUGGAACUCCAUGUGUAGCGGUGAAAUGCGUAGAUAUAUGGAAGAACACCAGUGGCGAAGGCGGCUGUCUGGUCUGCAACUGACGCUGAGGCUCGAAAGCAUGGGUAG
This 691-nucleotide ribosomal RNA is filed under the name uncultured bacterium. RNAcentral describes it as "bacterial SSU rRNA". It matches the Rfam family "Bacterial small subunit ribosomal RNA", at positions 91 to 768 of the family's 1533-position model. The record is from RNAcentral.